AGCUGAGCUAUCCGGCCAUUCCAGCAUAGUAACCUUUUUUAUUUUAGUCGAUGACUGAGGUCUAUGUCAAUUAAAGGGAAAGGGUGGAUUACAAAUUUUUCGCCAAGUACUUCAAUUUCUUUUCUCUUCAAAAGGACUACUUUCUAUUUCUAAGUUUCAGUAUUCGUAAAGCUAUUGAUUGUGAAUCAUUUAAAUCGGGAUUCUUUGCUCAAAUUGGAUGUCUAUUCUAUAUCACAAACAAUCACAUGGGAAAAGAUCAAGGCAUUUCCGCCCAACUACGUUUGUAAAAGAAUAAGCAACAUAAAGCAAUUUGUAACCGAAAGGGAGAGGGUCGGGAUAAAGGUUUUGGGAGUAAAAUAUGCUUGUUUGGGGAUAGAGGGACUUGAACCCUCACGAUUUUUAAAGCAAGGAUUUCCUUUUACUAUAAAUUUCAUUGUUGCCGGUAUUGACAUGUAGAAGGGGACUCUAUCUUUAUUCUUGUUCAAUCGAUCAGUUCUUUAAAAGCUUUAUCGUACUAUGGAGUGAAUGAUUUGAUGAAUAAAAAUUCGAUUUUUCUUCAAUGUCGAAUGAAUUCACACCAAUUAUUCUAUUUUUAAUAGCAAAAAAUAGAUCUAGAGAUUCGGGCCACCAUUACUCAUUUGAUAUAGUAUUCAAUAGAUAGCUUUGUCCUUGAUACUUUCUGACGUUUUGGUGGAACGAUUCCUCUACCAGUGGCCCCUUUUGUUAGAACAGCUUCCAUUGAGUCUCUGGACCUAUCCUUUUUUUUUAGGUUUCUGAACCUUUCGUUUGAGAAAACAGGAUUUGGCUCAGGAUUGCCCAUUUUUUUGAAUUCCGGGGUUUCCCUGAAUUUGAAAGUUAUCACUUAGUAGGUUUCCAUAC
RNAcentral lists this unclassified non-coding RNA (879 nucleotides) under Utricularia bisquamata. Its description in RNAcentral is "partial contains tRNA-Leu (trnL) gene and trnL-trnF spacer region". Lineage: Eukaryota; Viridiplantae; Streptophyta; Magnoliopsida; Lamiales; Lentibulariaceae. The record is from RNAcentral.